UUAGAGUUUGAUCCUGGCUCAGGAUGAACGCUGGCGGCGUGCCUUAGGCAUGCAAGUCGAACGGUCCCGCAAGGGACAGUGGCGGACGGCUGAGUAACACGUAGGAAUCUACCCUGAAGUGAAGGAUAGCUCGCCGAAAGGCGGGGUAAUACUGCAUGUGAUCGCAAGAUCAAAGAGCUUAACUGCUCGCUUCAGGAGGGGCCUGCGGCCUAUCAGCUAGUUGGUGAGGUAAUGGCUCACCAAGGCUAUGACGGGUAGCUGAUCUGAGAGGAUGACCAGCCAGAAUGGAACUGAGAACGGUCCAUACAUCUACGGAUGGCAGCAACCGGGAAUCGUCGGCAAUGGACGAAAGUCUGACCGCGCGACGCCGCGUGUAGGAUGAAGGCCUACGGGUUGUAAACUACUCAAUUUCAAGCUAUAGCAAGAAAGGAUGAAGUCGCUGCUAACUACGUGCCAGAAGCCUCGGUAAUACGUAGGCGACAAGCGUUAUCCGGAUUUACUGGGCGUAAAGCGAGUGUAGGUGGUUUUUUAAGUCUUUUUUGAAAUCGUUCCGCUCAACGGGACUCACGGAAAGGAUACUGAAAAACUAGAGUCAUAUAGGGACAACUGGAACUCUCGGUGUAGGGGUGAAAUCCGAUGAUAUCGAGAGGAACACCAAGGGCGAGGCAGGUUGUUGGAUAUGUACUGACACUGAGACUCGACAGCUAGGGGAGCGAAAGGGAUUAGAGACCCCUGUAGUCCUAGCCGUAAACUAUGAGUGCUAGAUGUUGUCGCCGUAGGCGACAGUGUCGUAAGCUAACGCGUUAAGCACUCCGCCUGGGGAGUACGGCCGCAAGGCUAAAACUCAAAGGAAUUGACGGGGAGGAGCACAACCAGUGGAGCGUGUGGUUUAAUUCGAUACGAAGCGAAAAACCUUACCAAGACUUGACAUGUAUUUUACACUUUUGCCGAAAGGUGAAAGUUCAACGGAUACACAGCUGCUGCAUGGCUGUCGUCAGUUCGUUCCGUGAGGAGUUCCCUUAAGUGGGGUAACGAACGCAACCCCUGCUGUCUGUUACAAGUGUCAGACGGGACUGCCUGCGUCAAACGCAGGAGGAAGGAGGGGCAGACGUCAAGUCAGCAUGGCGCUUAUGUCUUGGGCAACACACACCCUACAAUGGAGCCGACAAAGGGCUUGUGAAACGGUAACGUGGAACUAAUCCCAUCAAACGGCUUCCCAGUUGGGAUUGAGGGCUGAAAUUCGCCCUCAUGAACUAGGAAUUGGUAGUAAUCGCGAAUCAGAAGGUCGCGGUGAAUACGUUCUCUCCUCUUGUACACACCGCCCGUCAAGGCAGCAAAGUUGGUAAUGGCCGAAGCCCCGUGCUUGCACGGGAUUAAGCUAGGACCAGCGAUGAAGCUUAAGUCGUAACAAGGUAACC
RNAcentral lists this ribosomal RNA (1418 nucleotides) under uncultured bacterium. RNAcentral's name for it is "16S ribosomal RNA". It matches the Rfam family "Bacterial small subunit ribosomal RNA". The record is from RNAcentral.